UCCGUUGUGGUCUAGGGGCUAGGAUUUGCCGCUCUCAGCUCGAGAGUCAUCUCACUUACAAGUGCCGGCAAGGCCCGGGUUCGAUUCCCGGCGACGGAA
RNAcentral lists this transfer RNA (99 nucleotides) under Macrophomina phaseolina. RNAcentral describes it as "tRNA-Glu". The record is from RNAcentral. RNAcentral also lists the same sequence under 1 other name. Lineage: Eukaryota; Fungi; Ascomycota; Dothideomycetes; Botryosphaeriales; Botryosphaeriaceae.